GGCAUUGUGGCAGAGCGGUCUAAUGCGUAUGGUGGGUCAAAUAUCCCUUUCUCCAUGAAAGGCCAACGUCGCUAACCCGUAUCUAUAGACUCGAACAUUACGAUUAAUCAUAUCUCCUCGGAGGCGCCCGUUCGAAUCGGGCCAAUGUCG
This is a non-coding RNA of Annulohypoxylon truncatum, 150 nucleotides long. The record is from the annotation of a RefSeq genome assembly. NCBI's taxonomy places the organism in Eukaryota, Fungi, Ascomycota, Sordariomycetes, Xylariales, Hypoxylaceae.